GACGAACGCUGGCGGCGUGCUUAACACAUGCAAGUCGAGCGAGAAAGCUCCUUCGGGAGUGAGUACAGCGGCGAACGGGUGAGUAACACGUGGGCAACCUGCCCCAGGGAGCGGGACAACCCGAGGAAACUCGGGCUAAUACCGCAUGAAUCGCCGUGCCACAAGGCGCGGCGGGAAAAGGUAGCUUCGGCCUCCGCCCUGGGAUGGGCCCGCGGCGCAUUAGCUUGUUGGUGGGGUAACGGCUCACCAAGGCGACGAUGCGUAGCUGGUCUGAGAG
This 277-nucleotide ribosomal RNA is filed under the name uncultured bacterium. RNAcentral describes it as "partial 16S ribosomal RNA". It matches the Rfam family "Bacterial small subunit ribosomal RNA", at positions 28 to 298 of the family's 1533-position model. The record is from RNAcentral.